AACGAACGCUGGCGGCUGGCCUCAAACAUGCAAGUCUAGGGGGUGUAGCAAUACAUCACCGGCGGACGGGUGCGUAACGCGUGGGAAUAUACCUAUCGAUUCGGAACAACUGAGGGAAACUUCAGCUAAUACCGAAUACGUCCUAACGGAGAAAGAUUUAUCGUCGAUAGAUUAGCCCGCGUUCGAUUAGCUAGUUGGUGGGGUAACGGCCCACCAAGGCGACGAUCGAUAGCUGUUCUGAGAGGAAGAUCAGCCACACUGGGACUGAGACACGGCCCAGACUCCUACGGGAGGCAGCAGUUGGGAAUCUUGGACAAUGGGGGGAAACCCUGAUCCAGCCAUGCCGCGUGAGUGAUGAAGGCCUUCGGUUGUAAACUACUUUCGUCGCACGACGAUAAUGACGGUAGUAGCGAGAAGAAGCUCCGGCUAACUUCGUGCCAGCAGCCGCGGU
RNAcentral lists this ribosomal RNA (451 nucleotides) under uncultured bacterium. RNAcentral describes it as "bacterial SSU rRNA". It matches the Rfam family "Bacterial small subunit ribosomal RNA", at positions 29 to 521 of the family's 1533-position model. The record is from RNAcentral.